AUGGCGGCCCGGAAGGCCAAGGCCCUGCCAGGUGCGAGGCCUGUCUACCUGUGGCUCUGUCGGUGACGACGCGAAUAGCGGGGGGAAGGCGCACCUGCAGCGUUGAGAUGCGAGGCACACACAGGCCCACAUAGAAAGGGCGAGAGAGAGAGAGAGAGAGAGGGAGAGGGAGAGAGCAGCAGGGUGAAGGCGAGGACGUACAGUGAACGUGUGGGGGGGAGAGGGCACGGAAGCGCGUCACGUUUACGCGGUCCCGGUUUCGCCGGCGGUGUAGUGAUCCAUUCCUUAGGGUGAGGCAUGGAUGCUUUUUUUUAUGCGUUCGGACGGAUGUUGGCGCGGAAGACGAUAAGUCUCUGCCACAGCUGGCCGGAGUGGAAAUGCGGUUACGCGGUUGAAACGCUUCUUUUUCUCCGUGCCCUUUCGCCGAAAGGAAGGUUGCCCUGCCGACCUCAACGUCUAAGUUAAAGCCGACGCCGACGCAGCUGCAAGCCUUCGCGACAGCCGCGUCUACGCGACGUAUCAUGCUUGUCUGCUUUACGAUGCUCAAUUAUAAGUAUUGCCCAAUUUCCGGUAUUCUUUGUCUGGUCUAAUUUCCAAAAAACAUCACCUAUUCUUUUUCAUAUAGCGAUGUCUUUUUUUUGUCGUCCAGCUCCGCUUCCUCAUCGGCCAGUUCCGCUUCCUCAUCGUCCAGCUCCGCUUUCUUGUCGUCCAGCUCUCUUCCUUGUCGUUCAUCCAGCUCCGCUUUCUUGUCGUCCAGCUCCGCUUUCUUGUCGUCCAGCUCUCUUCCUUGUCGUCCAGCUCUCUUCCUUGUCGUCCAGCUCCGCUUCCUUAUCGUCCA
This 838-nucleotide long non-coding RNA is filed under the name Volvox carteri. RNAcentral describes it as "long non-coding RNA (VCAR_LNC000197)". Lineage: Eukaryota; Viridiplantae; Chlorophyta; Chlorophyceae; Chlamydomonadales; Volvocaceae. The record is from RNAcentral.